This 459-nucleotide ribosomal RNA is filed under the name uncultured bacterium. Its description in RNAcentral is "partial 16S ribosomal RNA". It matches the Rfam family "Bacterial small subunit ribosomal RNA", at positions 338 to 795 of the family's 1533-position model. The record is from RNAcentral.
CCUACGGGGGGCUGCAGUGAGGAAUAUUGGUCAAUGGGCGCGAGCCUGAACCAGCCAAGCCGCGUGAGGGAAGACGGUCCUAUGGGUUGUAAACCUCUUUUGUCGGGGAGCAAAAGCCGCCACGCGUGGCGGUCCGCGUGUAUCCGAAGAAAAAGCAUCGGCUAACUCCGUGCCAGCAGCCGCGGUAAUACGGAGGAUGCGAGCGUUAUCCGGAUUUAUUGGGUUUAAAGGGUGCGCAGGCGGAAGAUCAAGUCAGCGGUAAAAUUGAGGGGCUCAACCUCGUCGAGCCGUUGAAACUGGCUGACUUGAGUGAGUGAGAAGUAUGCGGAAUGCGUGGUGUAGCGGUGAAAUGCAUAGAUAUCACGCAGAACUCCGAUUGCGAAGGCAGCAUACCGGCGCCAAACUGACGCUGAGGCACGAAAGUGUGGGGAUCGAACAGGAUUAGAUACCCGUGUAGUC